CCUACGGGAGGCAGCAGUGGGGAAUAUUGGGCAAUGGGCGCAAGCCUGACCCAGCAAUGCCGCGUGAAGGAAGAAGGCUUUCGGGUUGUAAACUUCUUUGACAGGGGAAGAGCAGAAGACGGUACCCGGAAAACAAGCCACGGCUAACUACGUGCCAGCAGCCGCGGGAAUACGUAGGUGGCAAGCGGUGUCCGGAUUUACUGGGUGUAAAGGGCGUGUAGCCGGGAAGGCAAGUCAGAUUUUCAAUCUGGCGGCUCAACCUCCAAAUUGCAUUUGAAACUGUUGUUCUUGAGUACUGGAGAGGCAGACGGAAUUCCUUGUGUAGCGGUGAAAUGCGUAGAUAUAAGGAGGAACACCAGUGGCGCGGGCGGUCUGCUGGACAGCAACUGACGGUGAGGCGCGAAAGCGUGGGGAGCAAACAGGAUUAGAUACCCCAGUAGUC
RNAcentral lists this ribosomal RNA (442 nucleotides) under uncultured bacterium. RNAcentral describes it as "partial 16S ribosomal RNA". It matches the Rfam family "Bacterial small subunit ribosomal RNA", at positions 338 to 795 of the family's 1533-position model. The record is from RNAcentral.